AGGGGGGAUAACGAAUCCGGAAACGGGUGCGUAAUACCGCAUAGUUUUCUGAUCGCAUGAUCGGGAAAGGAAAGACGGGCCUUUGUGCUGUCGCUUAUGGAUGGACCCGCGGCGUAUUAGUUAGUUGGUGAGGUAACGGCUCACCAAGGACGAUGAUACGUAGCCGACCUGAGAGGGUGAUCGGCCACAUUGGGACUGAGACACGGCCCAAACUCCUACGGGAGGCAGCAGUAGGGAAUCUUCCGCAAUGGACGGAAAGUCUGACGGAGGCAACGCCGCGUGAGUGAAGAAGGUUUUUUCCGGGAUCGUAAAACUCUGUUGUCAGAGAAGAACAAGUUUGGAGAGUAACUGCUCCAGCCCUUGACGGUAUCUGACCAGAAAGCCACGGCUAACUACGUGCCAGCAGCCGC
RNAcentral lists this ribosomal RNA (410 nucleotides) under uncultured bacterium. RNAcentral describes it as "bacterial SSU rRNA". It matches the Rfam family "Bacterial small subunit ribosomal RNA", at positions 135 to 518 of the family's 1533-position model. The record is from RNAcentral.